GAUACCCGAAUGGGGAAACCCAGUGUGAUUCGUCACACUAUCAUUAACUGAAUCCAUAGGUUAAUGAGGCGAACCGGGGGAACUGAAACAUCUAAGUACCCCGAGGAAAAGAAAUCAACCGAGAUUCCCCCAGUAGCGGCGAGCGAACGGGGAGGAGCCCAGAGCCUGAAUCAGCAUGUGUGUUAGUGGAAGCGUCUGGAAAGUCGCGCGAUACAGGGUGACAGCCCCGUACACAAAAGCGCAUGUGUUGUGAGCUCGAUGAGUAGGGCGGGACACGUGGUAUCCUGUCUGAAUAUGGGGGGACCAUCCUCCAAGGCUAAAUACUCCUGACUGACCGAUAGUGAACCAGUACCGUGAGGGAAAGGCGAAAAGAACCCCGGCGAGGGGAGUGAAAAAGAACCUGAAACCGUGUACGUACAAGCAGUGGGAGCACCCUUCGGGGUGUGACUGCGUACCUUUUGUAUAAUGGGUCAGCGACUUAUAUUCUGUAGCAAGGUUAACCGAAUAGGGGAGCCGGAGGGAAACCGAGUCUUAAUUGGGCGUUAAGUUGCAGGGUAUAGACCCGAAACCCGGUGAUCUAGCCAUGGGCAGGUUGAAGGUUGGGUAACACUAACUGGAGGACCGAACCGACUAAUGUUGAAAAAUUAGCGGAUGACCUGUGGCUGGGGGUGAAAGGCCAAUCAAACCGGGAGAUAGCUGGUUCUCCCCGAAAGCUAUUUAGGUAGCGCCUCGUGAAUUCAUCUCCGGGGGUAGAGCACUGUUUCGGCUAGGGGGCCAUCCCGGCUUACCAACCCGAUGCA
This 800-nucleotide ribosomal RNA is filed under the name Salmonella enterica subsp. enterica serovar Stanley. Its description in RNAcentral is "partial 23S ribosomal RNA". It matches the Rfam family "Bacterial large subunit ribosomal RNA", at positions 109 to 951 of the family's 2925-position model. The record is from RNAcentral. Lineage: Bacteria; Pseudomonadati; Pseudomonadota; Gammaproteobacteria; Enterobacterales; Enterobacteriaceae.